Molecule: long non-coding RNA, 942 nt
Organism: Papaver somniferum (opium poppy)
Lineage: Eukaryota; Viridiplantae; Streptophyta; Magnoliopsida; Ranunculales; Papaveraceae
Exons: 4
Source: RefSeq, a predicted model, not a curated record
CACGCGGUGCGGUUACGGUUGCGGUUGGGAUUUGAUAACCGCGGAUUACCCGCACCGUAGGACAUAUAGGGAAUUUAGUAAAUGUAUUAAGGACAAUAUGGGAAGUUGGAGUUUGAUAUAUAAACAUCUUUAGCUUUCGGUGAAACCUAAUAGCAUCAGUUUUUUUCGAGAGGAAAAGAGACCUAAUAGUCUCAGAGGAAGAGACCUUCGAUUCUUCUUCUUCUCUGAGUAAAUUAGUUCUCUUAUUCAUCUUCUUCUCAUCACAGAUUCACAGUAAAUAUCCUUCGAUUCAUCUUCUUCUCAUCACAGUAAAUUAGUUCUCUCAUUCAUUCUUCUUCUCUGAGCAGCAUCAGCAUCAGUAACUGUAGAUCCACGGAUUGGAGAGAAGAAUCUUCAGGAGAACAAUAUUUAAAAUUCUUGGGUAGGUGGUGAAGCUUGUAUUAUCAGUGCUACAAUUGUUUGGGAGAAUCUGAGAGCAGAUGGCUUCAAGUACUAAGGGACCUUCUAUUCCUGUUGACGAUCCUGAUGAGAGCAUGGCUACAGUUAACCCGGCAACCGUCGAGAGCAUAUCUACAGCUACACCAUCAUCUCUGGUUGAAGUUUCAAAGCCUCCGAAACUCUGGCUUGUUGUUCCUCAAUGUCGAUUGGGUUUGCGGUCUAGUUGUGAUCAGCCCUUUUAAAUGAUGCGGCAGAAAUCUUGCAGGAAAUUCCAGACAUAUCUAUCACGGAUUGAAUCCAAGGUCUCUUUUUCAGUUUUUGGCAUCAGAGAUUCAUAUGGCUUGGCACCAGACUUGUUGCAUUUGAAUUACUACUCUUUUGUGUUAGCUGUUAACUAUCUUAUGUCUAUUGUUGCUUUUGAAUUACUGAAUUAUAACUCUUUUGUGUUAAAAAAACGUCUGCACUCUAGUUUGUAACUUUCUAGUUUCUAUACUUAGUUUUUUU